Molecule: ribosomal RNA, 522 nt
Filed under: uncultured bacterium
Lineage: Bacteria
Description: bacterial SSU rRNA
Rfam family: Bacterial small subunit ribosomal RNA
Source: RNAcentral
CGGGGAUUUUCAUUUAUGAAAAUCAGCCGCAUCUUUACCGAAGAAUGAACAUUCGGGUUUACGAAGGAUAAACGCUUACACGGUUAUUAUUAACCAAGUAAAACGUUGUAUCGUUGAGAGAAGAGUGGAAACGCUGUCGAGUGGCGGACGGCUGAGUAACGCGUGGGAAACGUGCCCCAAAGUGAGGGAUAAGCUCGAGAAAUCGAGUCUAAUACCGCAUAUGAUCUUCGGAUUAAAGCAGCAAUGCGCUUUGGGAGCGGCCCGCGUCUGAUUAGAUAGUUGGUGAGGGUAAUGGGCUCACCAAGUCGACGAUCAGUAGCUGGUCUGAGAGGAUGAUCAGCCAGACUGGAACUGAGACACGGUCCAGACUCCUACGGGGGGCAGCAGUAAGGAAUCUUCCACAAUGGGGGCAACCCUGAUGGAGCAACACCGCGUGUAGGAUGAAGGCCUUAGGGUUGUAAACUACUUUUGUUAGCGAAGAAUAUGACGGUAACUAACGAAUAAGGGUCGGCUAACUACGUG